CCAAGUGAUACCAAUUCACCACCUACCUGCUGUCCAGUUGAGUCAGUGUGGGCAACACCACAUGCCUCCGUUUGUUGUUGACGGACACAUGCCCGCUGUGUAUGGGCUGGCACAUUGACCAACAAUGUACGGACAGCGCCCUGUGGGCACAUGAGUGUUGGGGUGUAACCGAUGUUGGUGGCCCUAUGGGUGAGCCGACGAUUGCUGCUGUCGUCGGGUCGCUGCGCCAACGGAGGAAGCACGCCCACAGGGCACCCUAACGGCUGUGCUGGCGUCUGUGCGUCGUUGAGCGGUUGUUGCGCCUUGCGCAGAUAUGCUAACAUGGAGUGUAGCUGCUACUCCAUGUUGUACGUGCCGUACCUUGCGGCAUGUCUGCGCUUGUGUGCUACGUCCGUGGCCGUGAUGAGACGACGUGUUAGGACCCGUGCCUUGGCAUUGGCACGUGGUUUAAGACUUGAUGAGUGCCCGCAGGCACCGCCAGCUUUUUCCCAUUUUUAUUUAUUUUUUAUGCAAUUCGAUUGCUAAAAUAUUCUAGUCUUAUCGGUGGAUCACUCGGCUCGUGGAUCGAUGAAGAACGCAGCCAACUGCGAUAAUUAGUGUGAACUGCAGAAACCUUGAACACAGAACUUUCGAAUGCACAUUGCGCCAUUGGAGUGACAUCCAUUGGCACGCCUGGUUCAGGGUCGUAACCAAAAAAUGCACUGCAUGUGCGUGUUUUAUUUGCAAAGAUCACGCUUCGGCGUGUUCUUGCAUACUAUUGAAUGCUACGCUGUGUAGCGUUGGACGUGCUGGCGCGAAAAUGUGUUGUCAUUCGCGCUUUACAGACCGUAAUUUAGGCACGCCCUUCGUUCACAUGCGAUAGCUGAAUGCCUCGCCAAUAGGCAUUUGCAAUUGA
RNAcentral lists this unclassified non-coding RNA (895 nucleotides) under Globodera rostochiensis. RNAcentral describes it as "partial contains 18S rRNA, ITS1, 5.8S rRNA, ITS2, 28S rRNA". The stretch from base 533 to 686 matches the Rfam family "5.8S ribosomal RNA". The record is from RNAcentral. Lineage: Eukaryota; Metazoa; Nematoda; Chromadorea; Rhabditida; Heteroderidae.